This is a long non-coding RNA of Salvelinus sp. IW2-2015, 2803 nucleotides long. RefSeq lists it as uncharacterized. Lineage: Eukaryota; Metazoa; Chordata; Actinopteri; Salmoniformes; Salmonidae. The record is from RefSeq and is a predicted model, not a curated record.
AGGAUUCAGUGAGUAUGAGGGCAGAGCCAGCAGAGAGAGGGUGAAGAGCGGAUAGAGGAACGAGAGCGGAGAGAGGGAGGAGAGCAGACAGAGAAGGAACAAGGCAGUCGGCUGAUUCACCACCACUCCAUCCAUCUCUUCUUUCUCUUUCUCCUCUUCUGCUUCAGUGACGGGGUAGUGGAGGUGUGUGUGGGAAAGGAAACCCUCCCUCCACACACAAACAGACCACUGCUCCUCAUCCCUUCCACCUGCCUCCAUCCCUCUCCCUUCUCCCAUUGUCAUUACUACCUCCACCUCUGUCUCAUUCCUUCUCACUCCAUCCCAUCAUCCAUCUAUCUCUCUAUUGCUCUUUCUUUCUUUCCAGCCCCCACGCCCUUCUAACCCACACGCUCUGUGUCACCACCGUGGUGAAGAAAAUGAUCAGCCAACAAGCUGGAAAAGGUAGAGGAGAGGACAGAGAGAGGAGAAAGAGAGGAAGAGUGAACUCUGUCCAUUCAAAACACUCCAGACUUUCCCGUUUCCCUGAUGGAUUAUCGCCGGCUCCACGGACAGAAGGAGGAGUGGAGGAGAAAAGAAAAAGACCAAUAGAGGAAGAGAGAAGACAAGAAUUGAGCUCUGGACAGCCAGUUCGCCUAAAGGUCUUGUCUGCAGGCUGUGCUUGGGACUGGCUAAUUGUGGAAUAUUCUCAGGACUCCAGCGGAGGAGAGAGAGAGAGAUGCUCUCUCUUUCUUUUCAUUCUAAUCAAUUCCCCUCUAUGCAAACACUCAAAGAGCCUUUCUCUUUGAGGGCGAUAAUUUCAUAUUCUGUUCAUAUCAUUAUUUUCCAUUUGUUUUUUUCACACCAUUUGUUCCAUUUGUUUUUUUCACAGUACCUGUAGGCUGCCACUCAAAAAGAAAAAGAAAAUAAAAAACACGCAAAAACUCUCUGACAUCCCUAGGGGGUUUGGGAGUGGGUGUACAACACAAGACAAUGCCGGUGUGAACUGGACGUGCUUGGACAGAAAAAUGAGAGAAUGAACGUGAGAGUGAGAGAUAAAACAUAAUAGUGUGGAGUCUACUAGAAAUAAGUAUUUCCCAGAGUGGUGUGAGGGAAGUAAGCAAGGAAAAUACUAUUUUCACCUCAGGUCUAACCAGUGCUGUGGAUAGACAGAGUAAGACAUCGGCCCCUGCUCAUCGGUCCCUGCUCAUACAACACCGAGACUGAGAAGAAUUCACAAGACUGAGGAGAGAACGGACGGACAAACACACAGACAAGUCAGCCCUCCGACCCCAACCGCAUUCUGGUCCAUCUCUGUUAGGGUACAGCGCCCUACAUACACUUACUCUCACACACACUCACUCAUACACACACUCAUACACACACUCAUACACAGACACAAAAGAACCUUGGCUUCGUCUGGGACCCUUUUCUUUUCAGAAUUAUUUAUUUUCUAGCACCCAUUUUUUCCCUCUCUCUGCCCCCUUCUCUCCCUGUUUCUCUCCCAUCUCUCCUCCAUCUCUCCAUAUAGACUCUGAGAACACCAUAUCUCCACUACACAGACCUCUACACUUCCUGAUUCUUACAUUGAUUGGUCUUUCAGUUCCUCCCUUCUACAUAUCUCUACUUCUCUUUCUCUCCCUUCCCUCUUUUUCUCACCAUUCUUCUUUCUCUCUUUUUCUCUCUCUCUCUUUACCUCUCUCACACUCCUUUGCUUUCCUGCCCCCCUCGUCACACCUCACUCCCUCUCUCUUCUCCUACCGCUCCCUCACUUGCCCGGUCUCAUUGUCUUCACAAACAGCAGUGUUAGUGUGUGUGUGUACGGGGGAACCAAUCCAUUCUGCAGUGGAGCCACGGAGCACAGGGGAGCCUGAGGUAUUACAUGUGUCGCAAUCAAACCAUGCCCCAGUUCACCUUUGCCUGUUUCUGUGGUCUGCACGGCUUCUGCCGGAGACGGACGAAGAAUAAAAAUAAGAAAAGGGAGGAACAAGUGGAGAUGGAGGAGAAACAGAGGGAUCAGGAGACGGAGGUGUGAAGGAAGUCUGGAGGGACUUCACCCUCCUCUUCAUCUUCUCAGAGACUCUGUUUUGGUCAUAGUUGAAAAGCCGUUGAAACCCCUUCCUGUGUACUCAGUCCUUGGGAAUGAAGGCAGGAUAUUUUCACCAAACACACUCAGUACCACUGAUUUUGACUCGAUUUAACUUAAAACUAUGAUCUGUAAUUUCUUAUAAUUUUUUUUACUCCAUGUAGGCCAGUACACUUACAAAGUCCUGCCAAACUGAAUUACAGAUUGUGCCUUUUAGAUGGGGAGAUGGAACAGUAUGUAAUGAUGGCAUUCUUCUUUCUACGUCCAGAUCCUUUUCCAUUAUUCACACUGUGGUCCGUCUCUCCUCCACCUGAAGCAGCUGUUCAAUCAGCAGCUUCACUGGACAGUGUAGGUAGAGGUCAAAGGUUAAAACAAAUGUUAUUUACAAUCUCCUCCACCAAGGGGAUGGGCACACACACAUGUAAAUUAAAGAUACGCAUGGGUCUGUAAAUGUGACUCACUGCCUCGAUUACAGUAGGUAUUAUUAAGUAACAAAAUGAUAUAUCUUUUUUUUUUACAUUAGAUAAAAGUAGAGACUCAGAGGUAGAACAUUGUAUAUCAUACACUGCAGUUGAGGAACAAUGGGAAAGUAAUUAUAUUUGAAAGUUGAUAAACUUGUAACUCCACAAUGAACCAUAAUUCGCAACCCAUACAGUAAUAGCAAUACAAACGGAUUGUCAUAGCUAGCCACCAUGCAUGAAUCUGCAGGCAGCUAGCUAGCUAACAUUGGCCUAUAACUAG